Molecule: ribosomal RNA, 787 nt
Filed under: uncultured bacterium
Lineage: Bacteria
Description: bacterial SSU rRNA
Rfam family: Bacterial small subunit ribosomal RNA
Source: RNAcentral
AGAGUUUGAUCAUGGCUCAGGAUGAACGCUAGCGGGAGGCUUAACACAUGCAAGUCGGGCGGGAUUUCCCUUCGGGGAUUGAGAGCGGCGGACGGGUGAGUAACGCGUAUGCAACCUGCCUUUUACAGGGGAAUAGCCCAGGGAAACUUGGAUUAAUGCCCCAUGGCACUAUUAUUCCGCAUGGGACAAUAGUUAAAGAUUUAUCGGUAAGAGAUGGGCAUGCGUGGCAUUAGGUAGUUGGCGGGGCAACGGCCCACCAAGCCUGCGAUGCCUAGGGGUUCUGAGAGGACGGUCCCCCACACUGGUACUGAGACACGGACCAGACUCCUACGGGAGGCAGCAGUGAGGAAUAUUGGUCAAUGGGCGGAAGCCUGAACCAGCCAUCCCGCGUGAAGGAAGGCUGCCCUAUGGGUUGUAAACUUCUUUUAUGUGCCAGGAAUGUGCCCUACGUGUAGGGUUUUGACAGCAGCACAUGAAUAAGCACCGGCUAACUCCGUGCCAGCAGCCGCGGUAAUACGGAGGGUGCGAGCGUUAUCCGGAUUCAUUGGGUUUAAAGGGUGCGUAGGCGGCAUGAUAAGUCAGUGGUGAAAUCCUGCGGCUCAACCGUAGAACUGCCAUUGAUACUGUCAGGCUUGAAUUCAGAUGAGGUAGGCGGAAUGUGCAGUGUAGCGGUGAAAUGCUUAGAUAUUGCACAGAACACCGAUUGCGGAGGCAGCUUACUAAACUGCGAUUGACGCUGAUGCACGAAAGCGUGGGUAGCGAACAGGAUUAGAUACCCCAGUAGUCC